CAGCCAUUUCACAAAAUUUUUACUCCACACUCUCAAGUGAUAUGGCAUGAGUUUUAAAUGUACUAAAUGGCCCAGAUGGCUUGCAUUGCCUGGCUCUUCCUGGCAUGAUACUGGUUUCUGUCUUUCCUGCCUGACACAGAAGCUUCUAGAAAAUGACUCAUCAAAGGAUGUGGAUAAGACAUGGCAGAGGACCUGAGGACCAAUUCCAGAGAUGAGGUCUUGCUAUGUUGUCCAGGCUGGACUGGAACUCCUGGGACCAAGUGAUCCUCUACCUCAGCAUCCCAAGUAGCUGGACUACAGAUGCUCAUCUCAGACUGGAGAAAGUGCUCAAGUCCUUGGGGAGGCCUCUGUUCAGCGUCCCCGUCAGCUUGGACAGGCCACCAGGGAGCUCCUUGGGAGGACGGUUUCUGAAGGGACAAAUACUCCUGAUGGUCAUAUGACUGAAGAUGGAGUGCCAGAGACAGGACAGAACAAAGUGACAAGGCCCUCCCUCUUUCCCUCGCCUCAUCACCUGCCCCACCUUUGCUUCCCACAUGACAAAUCCUAGUGUGGCUUGCUGAUUUCUGGGCCUUUGGGAUUCAAAAUGGAGAGAAUGGGUCUGAACUACAGGUUAGGAUAGAAGGAAGGAAAGAGAAAAGAGAGUAAGGCUCCAAAGAGAGAAAGGAGAAGCAGGAUUCAGAAUGGAAACAUUUGGGUUCUAAAGCGUGUUGGAGUGUGAGCAGGAGGAGCCCAGAGACGGGGAGGCAUGGCUUGGGGGUAUAAACGGAUUCUUUUAUUGUUAUUCCAGAAUAUAAUUAAUGACUACAACUACUUUCCAGUGACCUGGUUUCUCGAGUUUUUUUCUUGUUAAUGUGCUUGCCCCAGGCAUAUCUAGGUUACCCUUGGAAUAACCACCUCCCUUAUUAUCUAUGACUAGUUGAAUUUAUUCUCUUUCUCACGCAGGGCAACUGUCCAGUGUGUUUUGGGGGAUGGGAAACACCUUUAAGGAGCCAAGAGCAGCCUGGUUUCGUGGUUGGCGGGCACUUUUCAUCUCUCGCCGAUGCUGGAAUUUUAGUGACGCUCAAGAAUUCUUGAUACUGUCAUUGAGGAUGGUUGAGAACCCUGAAGAAUGUGGCGUCAUAGCUGCAGAUUGAAUAGUGGGACAACUGUUUAAGAGCACAAGCUGCAAAGGAGGCAAGGUCAUUACGGUGGCCUAACCAGCAGGCAAGUCCAUUCUCCAAUAGGAAUUCGAUAAUGUUCACAAAUACCCACCUACCCCUGUGUAACAUGGCGCUCGGGAAGCCAACUCCAUCCAGCUCUUGGGAAGUCAGUGAUUUUCAACACUGGUGUGCCGAGAGGACCUUAGGUGUGCCACAAACAUUUUUAAAGAUUGUUAGUUAAAUUAUUUUCAAAAGAAGUUCAAAGCACA
Molecule: long non-coding RNA, 1408 nt
Organism: Nycticebus coucang (slow loris)
Lineage: Eukaryota; Metazoa; Chordata; Mammalia; Primates; Lorisidae
Exons: 4
Source: RefSeq, a predicted model, not a curated record